Molecule: ribosomal RNA, 527 nt
Filed under: Escherichia coli 99.0848
Lineage: Bacteria; Pseudomonadati; Pseudomonadota; Gammaproteobacteria; Enterobacterales; Enterobacteriaceae
Description: partial 23S ribosomal RNA
Source: RNAcentral
GCACGCGAUUAUUUGCAUAUUGAUAUGGCCGCUUCUUAUAUGGUGGGCGAUAAAUUAGAAGAUAUGCAGGCAGCGGUUGCGGCGAACGUGGGAACAAAAGUGCUGGUGCGUACGGGUAAACCUAUUACACCUGAAGCAGAAAACGCGGCAGAUUGGGUGUUAAAUAGCCUGGCAGACCUGCCGCAAGCGAUAAAAAAGCAGCAAAAACCGGCGCAAUGAUUAAAAGAUGAGCGGUUGAAAUAAAAAUGCAUUUUUCCGCUUGUCUUCCUGAGCCGACUCCCUAUAAUGCGCCUCCAUCGACACGGCGAAUGUGAAUCACUUCACACAAACAGCCGGUUCGGUUGAAGAGAAAAAAUCCUGAAAUUCAGGGUUGACUCUGAAAGAGGAAAGCGUAAUAUACGCCACCUCGCGACAGUGAGCUGAAAGCCGCGUCGCAACUGCUCUUUAACAAUUUAUCAGACAAUCUGUGUGGGCACUCGAAGAUACGGAUUCUUAACGUCGCAAGACGAAAAAUGAAUACCAAGUCU